GUCAUCUCAUCUCAUCUCCCUCCAAAGUCCAAAGGGCGCCAGGAUUCGUGCUCCCGUACCGGCCAGACCAAUCGGCGGCGAGGAGGAGAGGCCUUCACUUUCCACGGCCGACGACCGCCGGAGAUGGGGGACCAGGGGGAGGGGCCGGCCGGGUUCGCGCGCGCGCGCCACGCGGCGUUCCUGGAGCUCAUGUCGUCCGAGCUCCCCGACGGCUACGCCACGCAGGAGGUCAACCACCUCACCCUCGCCUACUUCGCCGUCGCCGGCCUCUCCCUCCUCCGGGAGCUCGACCGGGUUAACAAGGAUCAAAUUGCCAAAUGGGUUCUGUCGUUUCAAGUACACCCUGAGGCAAACGUCAACUUAGACAAUGGGCAAUUUUAUGGAUUCUGUGGCUCUAGAACAACUAAGUUUCCCUCAAAUUUGGUGAAGGACCCUUGUCAUAAUGGUAGUCAUCUAGCAAGCACUUAUUCGGCCCUUGCUACGUUGAAGAUUGUAGGUUAUGAUGUACUAAACCUUGAUAGCAAGGUUCUUCUAUUGUCGAUGAAAAAACUCCAGCAACCAGAUGGAAGCUUCAUGCCUACUCAUAUUGGUGCGGAAACAGACCUACGCUUUGUUUACUGUGCAGCUGCGAUCUGCUCAAUGCUAAAAGACUGGUCAGGAAUGGACAAGGAAAAGGCCAAAGAAUACAUUCUUAACUGCCAGUCAUAUGACGGUGGCUUUGGCAUGGUUCCUGGUUCAGAAUCUCAUGGUGGGGGAACUUUCUGUGCUGUUGCGGCCCUAUAUCUAAUGGGUUUCAUUCAAGUUGAUUUGGCAUCGAACUCACGAGAGUCUGCGCCGAUUGACGUACAAUUGCUCCUGGAGUGGUGCCUUCAGAGGCAAGCAGCAGACGGGGGAUUUCAGGGCAGAAGAAACAAGCCAAGCGAUACGUGCUACGCUUUCUGGAUUGGAGGCGUGUUGAAGAUGAUUGGCGCCUACCACUUGAUCGACCACGGCGCUCUGCGGGAGUUUCUGCUCACCUGCCAGACAUGCUACGGAGGCUUCUCGAAAUUCCCAGACGACGAGUUGCCAGACAUCUACCAUUCUUACUACGGUCUCGCCGCCCUCUCGUUGCUGGGGGAGGAGGAGGUCGAGCCGCUCUGCGCCGAGCUGGGGAUCAUCGCCGCCGCACUGUAGCUAGCCAAGGCACCGAUCUUCCCCCGUUGUACCCCCUUGUAACUCACAGUUUUGUUGCGAUUGAGUAUUGACAGAUACUGUAACAUCCACCAUUACAGCGUGCUGCUGAAAACAUGGAAGCAAUUUUUGCGUGAAGUUUCUUGAUCCGCCGCGCUUUCGGCGUGUGUACGGUCGUGCUCUGUUCUGAAGUUUGUUGUGUUAGCUGAGCUGUUGGAUCUGCUCCGAGAGCUACUGAAAACGGUGCGGGCAGCAGAAUCAUCUGCCUGGAAUUGCGUGCGCGAUGAAGAAAUGGCGCGUGUGGUGGGGAUUGAGCAAGCUGGAUUUGGGCGGCGGGCGGUUGGUUGGGUAGAUGCGAGCAGCUGCAGCGGCAAUAACUAACUGCCACGAGCUGCUGCUGCCCACCACUCUCUCACUCGCUCGUCCUGUCCGAACGAUCCGAUCCGAUCUCGUCAGAUUCCUUCCAGAUUCAAACCGAUUGCGGCAGAGUUUGUUGGCCAGCCGCCUCCUAAUCCAACUCCCCGACCCGAGCAACGCCGCGUGCUAUUUCUUCCUUCCGCCUCCGUGUUGUAGCGGGACAUCGGCGGCCAUUAUUUGAUCCGCUGCAGGCGCAUCCAGAGCCCUGCGGCGUCUUCUAGUCUAGAAUGGCCGGCGUCGGGUCGGCGGUGCGGCGGCUCUACCUCUCCGUCUACAACUGGGUCGUCUUCGUCGGAUGGGCGCAGGUGCUCUACUACGCGGUCACGGCGCUGCUGGACGGCGGCCAUGAGGGCGUCUAUGCCGCCGUCGAGCGCCCGCUGCAGCUCGCGCAGACCGCCGCCGUCAUGGAGAUUCUUCAUGGGCUUGUAGGGUUGGUGAGGUCUCCGGUCACUGCAACCCUUCCACAAAUAGGAUCGAGGUUGUUUCUUACAUGGGGCAUCCUGUGGAGCUUUCCGGAGACACAAUCUCAUAUUCUUGUAACUUCUUUGGUCAUCAGCUGGUCCAUCACCGAGAUCAUUAGAUAUUCUUUCUUCGGCUUGAAGGAGACACUUGGAUUUGCACCUUCCUGGCUUUUAUGGCUCAGGUAUAGCACAUUUAUGAUAUUGUAUCCUACCGGCAUCCUUAGCGAGGUCGGUUUGAUUUACAUUGCUCUGCCUUACAUCAAGGUAUCCGAGAAAUACUUUGUUAAGAUGCCUAACAAAUGGAAUUUCUCCUUUGACUACUUUUACACAUGUGCUAUCGCCAUCGGUGUCUAUGUUCCAGGUGGGCCGCACAUGUUCACAUACAUGCUUGCCCAGAGGAAGAAGGCCCUGUCAAAGGCAAAGACUGCAUGAAGUUGCUGUGAGCCUUGUAGAUGGGGCAUGCAAUGCAAACCCUACUACAGUGUCAUGUUGUAGAGUAGUUGGUGUGAGAUCGGUAAUUCUAUUCGGUGAAUUACCCGACCUGUGUUGUAACAAUGAUGAUUGUUGGAUUUCCCAUGGUGGAAUCCAUCAUUGAUCAAACUCUGCAUUGAGCCAAUGAUUAUGACCAAAGAAGUGGCAUAAUCCUAUCAGAUAAAAGCAAUAUUCAUCUUCGGAAGUGCUCGUCCAUUAUGAGCCAAUGACUAGAUGUCAACUUGACAAGGAAAACUUUUGUGGAGCAGAUGGUACACUGGUUAUUUCACAGGACAAGUGUUGUCUCUAUUCUAGUAUAUGUGCAUAUGUACAAUCUUGUUACAAGAUCCUUAACAUUACACAGGGGCAAUAUACAGUGGAUACAUUAUUGUGUAUUUGGGGUUGCAAGCAAACUACGCAUAUAUGUAGAUAUCUGCUCCUAAAUGAAAAAAAUCCGCCAAUUCAUUGGAUGUACAACAGUCUGAAUUGGAGCGAGAUGGGGGCUUCCUUCCAAGUCACUAAGAUUAUUCCUUAA
RNAcentral lists this ribosomal RNA (3054 nucleotides) under Triticum aestivum (bread wheat). RNAcentral describes it as "partial small subunit ribosomal RNA". Lineage: Eukaryota; Viridiplantae; Streptophyta; Magnoliopsida; Poales; Poaceae. The record is from RNAcentral.